AAGAUGACACAUAACAUUAGU
Molecule: unclassified non-coding RNA, 21 nt
Filed under: Chlamydomonas reinhardtii
Lineage: Eukaryota; Viridiplantae; Chlorophyta; Chlorophyceae; Chlamydomonadales; Chlamydomonadaceae
Description: small RNA Cre_0103
Source: RNAcentral